GACGAACGCUGGCGGCGUGCUUAACACAUGCAAGUCGAACGGAAAGGCCCUGCUUUUGUGGGGUGCUCGAGUGGCGAACGGGUGAGUAACACGUGAGUAACCUGCCCUUGACUUUGGGAUAACUUCAGGAAACUGGGGCUAAUACCGGAUAGGAGCUCCUGCUGCAUGGUGGGGGUUGGAAAGUUUCGGCGGUUGGGGAUGGACUCGCGGCUUAUCAGCUUGUUGGUGGGGUAGUGGCUUACCAAGGCUUUGACGGGUAGCCGGCCUGAGAGGGUGACCGGCCACAUUGGGACUGAGAUACGGCCCAGACUCCUACGGGAGGCAGCAGUGGGGAAUAUUGCACAAUGGGCGGAAGCCUGAUGCAGCAACGCCGCGUGCGGGAUGACGGCCUUCGGGUUGUAAACCGCUUUCGCCUGUGACGAAGCGUGAGUGACGGUAAUGGGUAAAGAAGCACCGGCUAACUACGUGCCAGCAGCCGCGGUGAUACGUAGGGUGCGAGCGUUGUCCGGAUUUAUUGGGCGUAAAGGGCUCGUAGGUGGUUGAUCGCGUCGGAAGUGUAAUCUUGGGGCUUAACCCUGAGCGUGCUUUCGAUACGGGUUGACUUGAGGAAGGUAGGGGAGUAUGGAAUUCCUGGUGGAGCGGUGGAAUGCGCAGAUAUCAGGAGGAACACCAGUGGCGAAGGCGGUUCCCUGGGCCUUUCCUGACGCUGAGGAGCGAAAGCGUGGGGAGCGAACAGGCUUAGAUACCCUGGUAGUCCACGCUGUAAACGGUGGGUACUAGGUGUGGGGUCCAUUCCACGGGUUCCGUGCCGUAGCUAACGCUUUAAGUACCCCGCCUGGGGAGUACGGCCGCAAGGCUAAAACUCAAAGGAAUUGACGGGGCCCCGCACAAGCGGCGGAGCAUGCGGAUUAAUUCGAUGCAACGCGUAGAACCUUACCUGGGUUUGACAUGGAUCGGGAGUGCUCAGAGAUGGGUGUGCCUCUUUUGGGGUCGGUUCACAGGUGGUGCAUGGCUGUCGUCAGCUCGUGUCGUGAGAUGUUGGGUUAAGUCCCGCAACGAGCGCAACCCUUGUUCACUGUUGCCAGCACGUUAUGGUGGGGACUCAGUGGAGACCGCCGGGGUCAACUCGGAGGAAGGUGGGGAUGACGUCAAGUCAUCAUGCCCCUUAUGUCCAGGGCUUCACGCAUGCUACAAUGGCUGGUACAGAGAGUGGCGAGCCUGUGAGGGUGAGCGAAUCUCGGAAAGCCGGUCUCAGUUCGGAUUGGGGUCUGCAACUCGACCUCAUGAAGUCGGAGUCGCUAGUAAUCGCAGAUCAGCAACGCUGCGGUGAAUACGUUCCCGGGGCU
RNAcentral lists this ribosomal RNA (1346 nucleotides) under uncultured bacterium. RNAcentral describes it as "partial 16S ribosomal RNA". It matches the Rfam family "Bacterial small subunit ribosomal RNA", at positions 28 to 1381 of the family's 1533-position model. The record is from RNAcentral.